CAAAUUGUAAAAAAAGCAAAACUUUCUUUCUUCUCCUCUCUUCUCACGUUAGUUGUAUGGAAAUAUAGUGGAAUGGAUGAUUCUUCAUCUUCCUUUUCUUAUAUAUACUAAAUAAAAUACUAAUAAAAUAAUAAAAUAUCAUUUAAAAAUCAAAUUAAAAUAUUAAUAAACUAAUAAUUAAUUAAUUAAUUAAUAUAAAAUAUCUCUAAUAUCAUCAUUA
Molecule: long non-coding RNA, 220 nt
Filed under: Gossypium raimondii (Peruvian cotton)
Lineage: Eukaryota; Viridiplantae; Streptophyta; Magnoliopsida; Malvales; Malvaceae
Description: long non-coding RNA (GRAI_LNC005353)
Source: RNAcentral